Cicer arietinum (chickpea) is the source of this 5873-nucleotide long non-coding RNA. RefSeq lists it as uncharacterized. The record is from RefSeq and is a predicted model, not a curated record. NCBI's taxonomy places the organism in Eukaryota, Viridiplantae, Streptophyta, Magnoliopsida, Fabales, Fabaceae.
CGGUUGCUCUUGAGCAUGAAACAUUUAAGGAGAUGCAUCCCUCUCAAGUGGGAUAGGUUUUUGAUAGUGGCACCAAAGAUAUUGACCUUGCGACUCGAUUAAAAUUUUAGGUUGAAUCUGUUGGGGAAGGAAUCAGAGACGUUGAUAGGAACCUGAAUAAUGGGCCUAAAACAGAGGUAGGCCUUGCUGCAAAGAGGUUUGUUAUAUGGAAGGUUUAUUCUAGAAGAAAGAAAGUGGGCCAAGAGAGAGAGAAGAAGAAUUUGGUUAAUGAGGUAGCAGUAGGUCCCAUGUGAUUCGGUUAUGGAGGUAUUUGUAUAAAGGGGGACGUAAGGGAAUAGAGAGAAAAGAGUAAUCAUUAGCUUAUUAGUGUUAUAGGAGAAUAGCUAUUCUCUAGUUAGAAGCUAGGCUUUGGAAUUAUCCUUUGUAUUGGUUCCCUGUUCUUAUUUACCAUUAAUACACAUAUCCAUUUACUUCAUUGAUACUAUUAUAUUUUGUUUUAUGUUAUUGAGCUACUAGUAAUUUCUUUCUAUUUUAUCAUUGGUCCGACCUAUCGGAUUCCGAGGAAGAGCUAGUGAGACGUUGCAUUUACUAUGCCACAAAAGAUGAACGAAAGAGUUGAGGUGUUGGAAGGUAGUGUGGGAGUUUUGCGUGUUAGUAUGGAGGAAUUUCAUAAAAUGAUGAUGGCGGAGUUUGGCAAAUUACGUGAUCGACGCAUUCCUGACCCGUUUUACUCCUCUCAGGAGGAAGUUAGUUCUGAGUACAUAACGACAAUGAAAAAGCCGGAGUUACCACCGAGCUGAAACUUACUUCGAGGCAUAAGGGCCAUCAGAGGAAGUAAAUGUUAGAUUUGCAAAACUAAGCAUGGAAGGGACCACCAUUCAUUGGUUCAAUCUGUUACGUGAAACAGAGGAUUAGUUGACAUGGUCAAAAUUGAAGAAAGCUUUAAUUGAACGUUAUGGAGGGAGGAAGAGUGAUAACUCUUUCGAAGAAUUGAAGGAUCUUCAACAAACAUAAUAUGUGGAAGACUAUAUUUCAGAUUUUGAGUAUGUUUCAUCUCAAGUAGAUCGCCUCCCUGAAGAACAAUACCUUGGGUGUUUUUUGGGUGGUCUCAAAUCAAAGAUCCACUUUAGAGUGAGGAAAUUUGAUCCCGAAAUGCAUACACAAACCAUGAAAAUUGCUCGGGAUAUAGAAACAGAGUUAUAGGGAACAUUUAUGCACAAAGGCAAUGGUGGGUUGCGUCAAUGGAAAGGGGGAAGAGAGACAAAGUCUGGGCUGGGUGUAUGAGUGGGAAACGGGUCAAAUUUCAAUACGGGUGGAAGGAAUGGAUCUGAAUCGCAUUUUAAUGCGGGUCCAGGUAAAGGUAAUUUUAGUUCGAGUUACUUGAGUGGAGGCUCAACAAAGACAACCCAAUCAAGUGUCAUUUCAAACCCUAAUUCGACUGGAGAGACGAUGCAACAAGGACAGAGCGACGGCGCGCCAUAAUCAGGAAUAAGGGAAUCAAACAUCUUCCCUAUUCGGAACUCAUGGAUAGGAAGGCUCGUGGUCUCUGUUUCAGGUGUGGGGAACCAUUUCAUCCUCUUCACCGAUGUUCUAACAAAAAACUCUGAUUGGUGAUUCUCGGGGAUGACGAAAUGAAAAACGACGAAGGUGAGGUGAUUGCUAUUGAACUCAAGGAGGAAGAUGAAGAAACAAGCCUAGAGUGCAACAUUUUGGAUAUUUUUGGGAUGACAUAGAUAACAAAGUUGUGCAAGUGUUGGCGGACAGUGGGGAAACCCACUGUUUUAUUAAUUCAAAGAUGGCAAUGACACUUAGUUUGGUGGUGGUGCUGAAUGUGGAGCUAGGAGUCAAAUUGGGUGAUGGCCAUGGUGUACAAAAGUGGAGGUUCAGUUGGGAAAUUUCACUACCAGAGUUAUUGCUUAUGUGUUGGAAUUGGGGGACAUGGAUUUGAUAUUUGAUGCAACUUGGAUGAGGUAAUUUGGUAAAGUCACAUUUGAUUGGGAAAACAUGGUGUUGAGUUUUCCAUGUGAAGGGAAUACGGUGGAAUUACAAGGUUUGAUGACUUCUCCAGUAGCAUUUUCUUUACAUAGUUUGUUGCAAGAUGAGGUAGUGGAGAAUUAAGUUAGCCAUAAAAGUGAGUUGAUCCUCAAGCAACAAGAGGAGUUGGAUCAAUUGUUGAAACACUUUUCGACGAUGUUCACAGAAUUGGAAGGGUUACCACCAACAAGAGAUAUUGUCCAUGGUAUAGAGCUGCAUAAGGAAGUUGCCUCAGUGAGUGUUCGACCGUACUGGAAUAUGUAUCAUCACAAGGAUGAGAUAGAACGACAAGUUCAAAAUAUGCUCCGACAAGGCAUCAUCAGGCAUAGUUCAAGUGUUUUUCUAGCUUUGUAAUAUUGGUGAAAAGGAAAUAUGACACGUGGAGGAUAUGCAUGGAUUAUAGGGAACUGAACAAGGCCACCAUUCAGAACAAGUACCCUAUUCCGGUUGUAGAGGAGUUGUUGGAUGAAUUACAUGGUGCUCAAUAUUUCUCCAAGAUCGAUUUAAAAUCGAGGUGCCAUCAAAUAAAGGUGAAAGAGGAGGAUGUGCGCAAAACGGCCUUCCAAACACAUGAAGGUCAUUACGAAUUCUUGGUGAUGCCAUUUGGGUUGACCAACACACUGUCCACAUUUCAAUCGACAACGAAUCUAGUAUUUAAACCAUUUUUAAGAAGGUUAGUCUUGGUAUUUUUUGAUGACAUAUUGGUGUAUAGAAAGCGCUGGAAUGAUCAUGUGCAAAACCUAAAUCAAGUUCUGGAGGUGUUAUAGUGCAGUGGGUUUGUGGCUAAUGAAAAAAAGUGGAUUUUUGACAGCAAACAAGUUGAGUAUUUAGGCCAUAUCAUUUCCGACAAGGGAGUAACAGUAGAUCCUGAUAAAAUAAAGAGCAUUGUGAUUUGGCCAAUUGCCUGUAAUGUGAAGGGUGUGCGAGGAUUCUUGGGGUUGACGGGAUACUAUAGAAAGUUUAUUAAAGGAUACAGGAAGAUAGCUAAACCGUUAAUGGAGUUAACCAAAAAGAAGUGAUUCAAGUGGGGAGAAGAGGCAUUACAAGCCUUCUGAAUUUUACUCAUCUGUUUGAGAUUGAGUGCGAUACGUCUUGAAGAGGCGUGGGGGCUGUUUUGAUGCAAAAGAAGAUACAAAUUGUGUAUUUCAAUAAAGCCUUGUUGAAAAACAACUUAGCCUAAUCAGCCUACGAAAAGGAAUUGAUGGCACGUGUACUGGCGGUGCAACAUUGGAGACCCUAUCAUUGGGAAGGAAUUUUGUGGUCUAUUUCGAUCAAAAAAGUCUUAGGCAUUUGUUGGAGCAAAGGAUAACUAUGAUCGAUCAACAAAAUUGGAUGGCUAUACUCCUUGGCUAUCAUUUUGAUUUUAUUUACAAACCGGCUCUGGAGAACAAGGCGGCAGAUUCCUUGUCAAGAAUGUUUGAGGGAGUUGAGUUGAAGGUCAUUUCUUCAUUUCCUAUUUGGCUGCAAAUACAACAGGUUCAACAAGAAGUGAAUGAGGAUGUUCAUCUAAAAAGGUGCUGGAUGAGGCUUUAGCAGAUUCCGAUGCCCACCCAGGUUUUAGUUGGCAGCAAGGAGUGUUACUCUAUAAAAACAAGAUGGUUUUAGCUUCCAAAUCAGCCUACAUACCAUUAAUUUUGCAAGAAUUUCAUUCAACCCCAAUAGGGGGUCAUUAUGGGUUCUUGAGGACGUAUAGAAGAGUAGCAAGAAAUUUGUAUUGGAUAAGGAUGAAGAGUGAUGUGCAGGAAUUUUGGCGCAGAUGUGAUUUUUGUUAUCGGCAAAAAUAUUUGGCUUCGUCACCGGUGGGGUUGUUGCAACCCCUGCCUAUUCUGGGGCAAAUUUGAGAAUAUAUUUCCCUUGAUUUUAUAACUGGACUAUCCAAAAUCUAAAGGAGUUAAGGCAGUUUUUGUUGUGGUCGAUAGAUUGUCCAAGUAUGGACAUUUCAUACCCUUGAAGCAUCUAUACUACAAGGAAAGUGGAAAAAGUGUUCACAGAGGAGAUAGUUUGUUUACACGGGAUACCUCAAUCCAUCGUAAGUGACCGAGACCCUUUGUUUGUUAGUAUAUUUUGGAAGUAGUUGUUUAGAUUGCAAGGAACAAUCUCGAAAAUAAGUUCUUCACGUCAUCCCGAGACGGAUGGACAUACAUAAGUGGUUAAUAAAUGUCUCGAGGCAUACUUGUGUUGUUUCGCUGCAGAACAACCUCAAAAUUGGUUGUACUGGGUAUCGUGGGCAGAAUUUUGGUUUAAUUCAAUGUACCAUGUGUCUAUGGGGGUAAAGCCUUUUGAGGUUGUGUGUGGAAGGAAGCCACCACCCAUGAUCUACUUUUCUAUAGGUGAGACACGGGUCGAGGCAGUAGCAACUGAAUUAGUGGACCAAGAUGAGGCUUUGAGGCAACAAAAGCACAAUAUGUUGAGAGCACAUCAACAAAUUAAUAAAUAUGCAGAUAGAAAAAGGAGAGAUGUAUCAUUUGAGGUGGGAGAUGGGUGUUCUUAAAAUUGAGACCUCACCGGCAACAAACUGUACCACGGAGGAUCAAUCAAAAACUAUCCCCAAGAUAUUUUGGGCUUAUCCAAUACUGGAAAAAGUGUGACCAGUGUCAUACAAGCUGAAGUUGCCCGAUCCGCCCGAAUCCAUUCAGUUUUUCAUAUUUCACAAUUAAAGAAAGCUAUUGGAAAUUACACCCUAGAACCCAAGCUGUCUGAGGGGAUGGAAAUUAAAGGGAAUGACUUGGAAGAACCUGAAUGAUUGUUGACCUCUAGAGAGAUACGUGAUAGAGGAAUGUUGGUAAGACAAUGGUUAGUCAAAUGGAAGGGACGAGCGUUGGAAGAUACAACUUGGGUGGAUGAAUGCUUGCUGGAUAGUCAAUUUCCCAAUGUUAGCCUUGAGGACAAGGUUUUUGCUGAAAGGGAUGGCAAUGAUAGGAACCUGAAUAAAGGGCCUGAAACAGAGAUAGGCCUUGCUGCAAAGAGGUUUGUUAUAUAGAAGGUUUAUUUUAGAAGAAAGAAAGUGGGCCAAGAGAGAGAGAGAAGGAGAAGUUGGUUAAUGAGAUGGCAGUAGGUCCCAUGUGAUUUUAUUAUGAGGUAUAUGUACAUAGGGGACGUGACAUAAUGGAGAGAAAAGAGUAAUCAUUAGUUUAUUAGUGCUUUAGGAGAAUAGCUAUUCUCUAGUCAAGAGCUAGGCUCUGGAAUUAUCCUUUGUAUUUGUUCCCUGUUCUUAUUUACCAUUAAUACACAUAUGCAUUUAUUCCAUUGAUACUGUUAUAUCUUGUUUUCUGUUAUUGAGCUACUAGUAAUUUAUUUCUAUUUCAUCAAACGUCUCUAUGGUGUUGGAGAUAUGUCAAAGCAUUAUAAGUCAGAUGGAAGCAAUUGAGGAGAGGGCUAAGGCUACAAAGGAUGAUGCCCGAGCUGCACGAGAGGAAAGUCAUUGGGAAAUGAGCGUACAAUAGAGUUGGAGAGGUAAUUGGAGAAAUUGGCAAAUAGUGUUGCUUCUAUAUAGUGUAACCAACAUUGUCGCCAUUCUUACGAUGAGGAGGAUGACCAACUUUGACUCUUACAACAUAGAAGACUAGAUUAUGGUUUGUUUUUCUUUGGAGAUUACUUUGACUCGGUCUGACAUCUAGCAUAUGACUUUUUUUUGAAAUAUCUAGCCAAUGACUUGAUUGGGACUUGUUUUGUGUCAUAUUAGACAUGUUUAUUGUAUAUUUCUUUUGAGACUUGUUUGACAUAUUAGUUUGAUGUUUACUUUGAGACAUGUAUGUCAAUUUGGAUCAAUGUUUAGUUUGAUGCUUGUUUAUUUCACAGACAAAAUUAAGGUUGUCAAAAUAAGUAUAUUUUGGUUUUUA